UACGAGGGGAGCAAGCGUUGUUCGGAUUUACUGGGCGUAAAGGGCGCGUAGGCGGCGUGACAAGUCACUUGUGAAAUCUCCGGGCUUAACUCGGAACGGUCAAGUGAUACUGUCGUGCUAGAGUACAGAAGGGGCAACUGGAAUUCUCGGUGUAGCGGUGAAAUGCGUAGAUAUCGAGAGGAACACCUGCGGCGAAGGCGGGUUGCUGGGCUGAUACUGACGCUGAGGCGCGAAAGCCAGGGGAGCGAACAGG
RNAcentral lists this ribosomal RNA (253 nucleotides) under uncultured bacterium. RNAcentral describes it as "partial 16S ribosomal RNA". It matches the Rfam family "Bacterial small subunit ribosomal RNA", at positions 524 to 776 of the family's 1533-position model. The record is from RNAcentral.